This 484-nucleotide ribosomal RNA is filed under the name uncultured bacterium. Its description in RNAcentral is "partial 16S ribosomal RNA". It matches the Rfam family "Bacterial small subunit ribosomal RNA", at positions 30 to 507 of the family's 1533-position model. The record is from RNAcentral.
AUUGAACGCUGGCGGCAGGCCUAACACAUGCCAGUCGAGCGGAUGAAGGGAGCUUGCUCCUGGAUUCAGCGGCGGACGGGUGAGUAAUGCCUAGGAAUCUGCCUGGUAGUGGGGGAUAACGUCCGGAAACGGGCGCUAAUACCGCAUACGUCCUGAGGGAGAAAGUGGGGGAUCUUCGGACCUCACGCUAUCAGAUGAGCCUAGGUCGGAUUAGCUAGUUGGUGGGGUAAAGGCCUACCAAGGCGACGAUCCGUAACUGGUCUGAGAGGAUGAUCAGUCACACUGGAACUGAGACACGGUCCAGACUCCUACGGGAGGCAGCAGUGGGGAAUAUUGGACAAUGGGCGAAAGCCUGAUCCAGCCAUGCCGCGUGUGUGAAGAAGGUCUUCGGAUUGUAAAGCACUUUAAGUUGGGAGGAAGGGGAGUAAGUUAAUACCUUGCUGUUUUGACGGUACCAACAGAAUAAGCACCGGCUAACUUCGUG